RNAcentral lists this non-coding RNA (148 nucleotides) under Pan troglodytes (chimpanzee). The record is from Rfam by way of RNAcentral. Lineage: Eukaryota; Metazoa; Chordata; Mammalia; Primates; Hominidae.
GCUGGGCGUAGUGGUGGGCGCCUGUAAUUCCAGCUACUUGGGAGGCUGAGGCAGGAGAAUCACUUGAACCCAGGAGGCGGAGAUUGCAGUGAGCCGAGAUCAUGCCACUGCACUCCAGCCUGGGUGACAGAGUGAGACUCUGUCUCAA